GAUCCAGCCAUGCGGCGUGCAGGAUGAAGGCCUUCGGGUUGUAAACUGCUUUUGUACGGAACGAAAAGACUUUUGGUUAAUACCUGGGGUCCAUGACGGUACCGUAAGAAUAAGCACCGGCUAACUACGUGCCAGCAGCCGCGGUAAUACGUAGGGUGCAAGCGUUAAUCGGAAUUACUGGGCGUAAAGCGUGCGCAGGCGGUUAUAUAAGACAGAUGUGAAAUCCCCGGGCUCAACCUGGGAACUGCAUUUGUGACUGUAUAGCUAGAGUACGGCAGAGGGGGAUGGAAUUCCGCGUGUAGCAGUGAAAUGCGUAGAUAUGCGGAGGAACACCGAUAGCGAAGGCAAUCCCCUGGGCCUGUACUGACGCUCAUGCACGAAAGCGUGGGGAGCAAACAGGAUUAGAUACCCUGGUAGUCCACGCCCUAAACGAUGUCAUCUGGUUGUUGGGUCUUCACUGACUCAGUAACGAAGCAACGCGUAAGUUGACCGCUUGGGAG
RNAcentral lists this ribosomal RNA (500 nucleotides) under uncultured bacterium. Its description in RNAcentral is "bacterial SSU rRNA". It matches the Rfam family "Bacterial small subunit ribosomal RNA", at positions 385 to 879 of the family's 1533-position model. The record is from RNAcentral. RNAcentral also lists the same sequence under 1 other name.